AGGCAGCAGGCGCGCAAUUACCCACUCCCAGCACGGGGAGGUAGUGACGAAAAAUAACGAUACGGGACUCAUCCGAGGCCCCGUAAUCGGAAUGAGUAUACUUUAAAACUUUUCCCGAGGAUCAAUUGGAGGGUAAGUCUGGUGCCAGCAGCCGCGGUAAUUCCAGCUCCAAUAGCGUAUAUUAAAGUUGUUGCGGUUAAAAAGCUCGUAGUCGAAUCUGUGUCCCGCGCCGCUGGUUCAUCGCUCGCGGUGUUCAACUGGCGUGUCUCGCGGGACGUCCUGCCGGUGGGCGCUCGUAUCGUUUCGGCGGUGCGUGGCCCAACUCGUAGCCGUCUCGCGCGGUUGCGAAUCCCAUCGCGGUGCUCUUUAUUGAGUGUCGAGGUGGGCCGGCACGUUUACUUUGAACAAAUUAGAGUGCUUAAAGCAGGCCAAUUUUGCCUGAAUAUUGUGUGCAUGGAAUAAUAGAAUAGGACCUCGGUUCUAUUUUGUUGGUUUUCGGAACCCCGAGGUAAUGAUUAAUAGGAACGGAUGGGGGCAUUCGUAUUGCGACGUUAGAGGUGAAAUUCUUGGAUCGUCGCAAGACGGACAGAAGCGAAAGCAUUUGCCAAAAACGCUUUCAUUGAUCAAGAACGAAAGUUAGAGGUUCGAAGGCGAUCAGAUACCGCCCUAGUUCUAACCAUAAACGAUGCCAGCUAGCGAUCCGCCGACGUUCCUCCGAUGACUCGGCGGGCAGCUUCCGGGAAACCAAAGCUUUUGGGUUCCGGGGGAAGUAUGGUUGCAAAGCUGAAACUUAAAGGAAUUGACGGAAGGGCACCACCAGGAGUGGAGCCUGCGGCUUAAUUUGACUCAACACGGGACACCUUACCAGGCCCGGACACCGGAAGGAUUGACAGAUUGAGAGCUCUUUCUUGAUUCGGUGGGUGGUGGUGCAUGGCCGUUCUUAGUU
This 946-nucleotide ribosomal RNA is filed under the name Atheta contristata. RNAcentral describes it as "SSU rRNA". It matches the Rfam family "Eukaryotic small subunit ribosomal RNA", at positions 423 to 1299 of the family's 1831-position model. Lineage: Eukaryota; Metazoa; Arthropoda; Insecta; Coleoptera; Staphylinidae. The record is from RNAcentral.